This 143-nucleotide small nuclear RNA is filed under the name Sorex araneus (European shrew). Its description in RNAcentral is "U1 spliceosomal RNA (ENSSARG00000014594.1)". It matches the Rfam family "U1 spliceosomal RNA", at positions 20 to 166 of the family's 166-position model. Rfam says of the family: U1 is a small nuclear RNA (snRNA) component of the spliceosome (involved in pre-mRNA splicing). Its 5' end forms complementary base pairs with the 5' splice junction, thus defining the 5' donor site of an intron. Lineage: Eukaryota; Metazoa; Chordata; Mammalia; Eulipotyphla; Soricidae. The record is from RNAcentral.
AUAACUAAAUGAUAACUAAAGUGGUUUGCCGAGGACAAGGCUUUCUAUUGCAGUUAGGAUGUGCCUGCUCCUGUGGUUCCCUCAAAUGCAGGAAGCUCAACUAAUUUGUGGCAGCAGGGAGAGAGUGUGCUCACUCCCCCUGC